Molecule: ribosomal RNA, 483 nt
Filed under: uncultured bacterium
Lineage: Bacteria
Description: partial 16S ribosomal RNA
Rfam family: Bacterial small subunit ribosomal RNA
Source: RNAcentral
AUUGAACGCUGGCGGCAGGCCUAACACAUGCGAGUCGAGCGGAUGAAGGGAGCUUGCUCCUGGAUUCAGCGGCGGACGGGUGAGUAAUGCCUAGGAAUCUGCCUGGUAGUGGGGGAUAACGUCCGGAAACGGGCGCUAAUACCGCAUACGUCCUGAGGGAGAAAGUGGGGGAUCUUCGGACCUCACGCUAUCAGAUGAGCCUAGGUCGGAUUAGCUAGUUGGUGGGGUAAAGGCCUACCAAGGCGACGAUCCGUAACUGGUCUGAGAGGAUGAUCAGUCACACUGGAACUGAGACACGGUCCAGACUCCUACGGGAGGCAGCAGUGGGGAAUAUCGGACAAUGGGCGAAAGCCUGAUCCAGCCAUGCCGCGUGUGUGAAGAAGGUCUUCGGAUUGUAAAGCACUUUAAGUUGGGAGGAAGGGCAGUAAGUUAAUACCUUGCUGUUUUGACGUUACCAACAGAAUAAGCACCGGCUAACUUCGU